Long non-coding RNA from Hippoglossus stenolepis (Pacific halibut), 1118 nucleotides. RefSeq lists it as uncharacterized. Lineage: Eukaryota; Metazoa; Chordata; Actinopteri; Pleuronectiformes; Pleuronectidae. The transcript is spliced from 3 exons. The record is from RefSeq and is a predicted model, not a curated record.
CCUGCCCGGUCCUGUCCUGCCCUCCAUCUCUCAAGAUGUUCUCACCUUUCACCAGAGACCUGGGAUCCUGCCACACGCACGUCCAGCCUCAGUUUUUACGCGCGAAGUGUCACCUAUUUCUGAGCCUGAAAGUGAAAAAAAUCUAAAAGCCUAAAUAUUCCCACUUAGUGAAGAACUGCUGCUGCACUUGCCCUUGGUUUGUCAUGUGUGCUAUAGAUUAUGCAUUCAGAGGAUUUCAUGGGAUGUUGACGCCAUGCUGCACUCCCAAUGAUAAUGAAGGCUAUAAAAAGACCUGAUGUUUCCUUGACCCCACCAUCGCCAUGAAAAGCUGCAGCUCCAUGGACUCAGCUGAGAUGGUAUGAAGAGUGUGCUCCCUUCUGGAUGGAGUCUGUAAUUACACCUGGGGGGUAAUUUGACUCUGCACCCAAGCUUCAGUCAAGUCAUUUGAAUAAUAUUCACCGUCUGACUAUUUGUUUGUGAGGUUCCUUCUGUUUCCCAGCAUAGUUUUCCUGAACUAGUCGAGACACGACUAACUCGGGCUUUGCUACAAGUUGAGCUCAUUAAAAGCAAUUACCACAGUUUGCACUCCUCGCUUCGGGCAAAGCGGUGAUUAACUCAUUAUCUCCACAGCGUCACUACAAACACUUCAGAUUAUAUUUAAAUUGCAGAUUCUCUCUGUCCAAUUUUCUGCUCCCGAGGGAAAUUCUUUCAAAAACACUGACAUUUUUGCUGCAACAUAUUCAAGGCCUGUAUUUCCAUAUGCAAGUUUGCAUAUUUUGUGCAAUGUUGAUGCCCAUAAAUGCACAGAACCUGACUAUAAGUUAUGUGUAAUGAAUAAGUCAUAGAGAAAACCUGCUGUUUCCACACAGUAUCUUAUAUCCCCGAGUCCCAGGGCUCAGACGCCAAACGACCCAGUCACCUUUGAUGUUGAUCUUCAGACUGAGACACGGCCAGAAGGGCUCGGCCAGGAGAUCUCAGGGUGUUGUCGGAUCAUAAAGGGUUAAAGGAUCAGAUAUUGAAGAUACAAAAUAUAUAUAAUCAUCAAAGGUAUACAGCCGAUAAUGUAAUCGACAGCCGUGCCACAGUUAUACAGGCAGGAGCAAAGGGUAUCAAGUGAU